RNAcentral lists this ribosomal RNA (450 nucleotides) under embryophyte environmental sample. RNAcentral describes it as "eukaryotic LSU rRNA". The stretch from base 35 to 190 matches the Rfam family "5.8S ribosomal RNA". The record is from RNAcentral. Lineage: Eukaryota; Viridiplantae; Streptophyta.
AGGAUCAUUGUCGAAGCCUGCCCAGCAGAAGAUCUCGUUUCGGCACCGGAUUUCUCGGCUCUCGCAUCGAUGAAGAACGUAGCGAAAUGCGAUACUUGGUGUGAAUUGCAGAAUCCCGCGAAUCAUCGAGUCUUUGAACGCAAGUUGCGCCCGAAGCCAUCUGGUCGAGGGCACGUCUGCCUGGGUGUCACGCAUCGUUGCCCCCAACCCCAUCGCCUCUCCAAGAGACGAGGGCGGUCUGCGGGGCGGACAUUGGCCUCCCGUGAGCUUUCGCUCGCGGCUGGCCUAAAAGCGAGUCCUCGGCGACGAGCGCCACGACAAUCGGUGGGUGACAAACCCUCGUGUACAGUCGUGCGAGGAUAGUCGCUCGUCUUGUGCUCUGUGCCCCUGUAGCGUCGCGAACGCGACUCUUCCAACGCGACCCCAGGUCAGGCGGGACUACCCGCUGAA